Long non-coding RNA from Athene cunicularia (burrowing owl), 1376 nucleotides. RefSeq lists it as uncharacterized. Lineage: Eukaryota; Metazoa; Chordata; Aves; Strigiformes; Strigidae. The record is from RefSeq and is a predicted model, not a curated record. The transcript is spliced from 3 exons.
AUGUCUCUGUGCUUUUGGCUGUAUAUUUGGAUGCAGGAAAAUUCUCUUCCUUGGAAUAGCUUCCUUCCCAGGGAGUGCUCGGAGCCUGACAUGAAUCCCGAGGAAGCAGUGUUCACAGCAAGCACCUUUGGAAGCACAGACUGGGCAGGGAGGAGGCUCCCGUGAGCUACAGCCAGGGAGUGACAGGGACUAUUUCUAUAUAAACAAGCCCAGGAUCAGCUGAAGUUGCCAUUCACUGGCAAACGAAAAUAAAGAGACAAUUCAGAAUCAAAGUGGGAACCAGGAAUCCCACGUGUGGUCUGUCCCUCUGUCACUGAACUGAUAGUGUGGCCUCGGUUUCUGCACACACAGAACUUCCGUGCUUCUACGUGUCGGGUGCGUGCCUCGCCGCCCAUCCCAAGCAGAGCGGCGCUUCCAAAGCCAGCGCCGUUGGAGCAGCAGGGCAAAGUUUCACGACGGCUGGUCGCCGGCAGAGAGGGCAAGCUCUGGGCUCGCAGCUUCUCUCUCAGUCCCUCAAGCAAUCUGGCACCCAUAGGACUGCCACCACCUUUUCUGCACUGAAGGGUUGAACUCCUUGCUGAAAAUCUGCGCUACACCUUGGAGACGGAAUUUUGCAUACAGAACUCAUUUGCAGCGAAAUGCAAUCGCAGUAAAUAAAUAAGUAACGGGAGCCAAAACGGCAGUGUGGUGAAUCGGCAAGCUUAUUUCAAAUAAAUUGAAAGAACUUGCGGUGACGAACGCUUUUGUGCGAGUCUGGUACUGAGAUUGUAAGAAUUUUGCAUGUCUACAUAAACUGACUGAUAGCAAAGGAGUUUCUAGUCCCCCUCAUGGCACACACAAAUGUCUGUUAAAGACAUAAAUAUUUAAAAACAACAGCUAGACUAAGAGGGUUAGCUUUCAUUUCAUCUAAUUUGGCAAGCAUUAGAUACACCCACCAGAAAUCAUUUUAUUUUGUGUAAUUUAAUAGCAGAUCUAUUGUAGCAUCACAGUUUCUGACACACCGAAACAAAUCAAUGUGGCCUUUUUUUAAGUUCAGAAUUAAUAUAAGGCUGUAUUUCAAGUGUUAGAUGGAAAUCAAUAAAGAUUAAAACCUUUCUGUGUCAUUCACUUGUUUUCGUCCUCUGCUGCAAAGUUUAUUUGCCUUCCUGCAUGUAAUAAAGAGACUUUGAUCCUUGUUCAAAUAUCUCUGAUUUUUUACUUCCCUCAUGUUUGAUCUGGUUCUCAGGUGAGAAAUAUUGGCAAAACUUGUAAGAUUUACACCUGCCAAUGGUAGCAUACAGGCUAGUAACAUGAAAUUAUAUAAACUGUACUAUAUAUGCCCUUUGGAUUCUUACACAUCAGAAUAAUAUUCCCACAGAAAUCAAGCUGAGAUUUUA